Non-coding RNA from Sus scrofa (pig), 2323 nucleotides. The record is from RefSeq and is a predicted model, not a curated record. NCBI's taxonomy places the organism in Eukaryota, Metazoa, Chordata, Mammalia, Artiodactyla, Suidae.
CGUCUCCAGCCCCAUCUUCCUCGCGAGGGAAGCAGGGCACGGGCGCCUGUCCCCGCGGGAGGCUCCUCGGCGCGGCCGGCGCUCAGGAGCUUGCCUAUCCCCUUUGCUGCCUUUGCCUCGGUGCAGCCGGGAGGGGUGGAAAGUGUCUGGGCCUCCAACUGAGGUAAGGAAACUGCUUUCAAAAGUCCCCCAACCACAAAGUUUUGCUGAGACGAUCCUCAGAACUGCAGUGUUUUUAUGUUUGUUUGUUUGUUUGUUUAAUCCAAAAUCCAGUUACAGAUUGCAGCAGCAGCAGGAAACGCGAAGACCUCGCCAAGGGCUGAGCUGUGGCUCACGCGGGCUCAGGAAGGGAAGUUGGAAGGAACACUGGGGAAGCAAAUUUUCUGUGACAGCUCUGGCGCCCAUGCCCGGAGUUGCUCAGUAUCCUUUGGCUUUAGUUGUUUUAGUUAGGAGGAGAGUGUGUAAAACCUGGCAGCAGGAUUAGCGAGGUAAACCACAUGUCAGCCUAGCAGACGCAGGACAAACAUAGGCUGUGGGAAAUUGAGGAGGAAAAAAAAAAAAAAAAAUCAGAGGAAAUCUCUGCAAAACCCCUGUUGUGAGCAAUUCAGAGGUUUCCCCACAUCUGCAAGUAGUUUCCAAAAUAGGUGAGAGGACUUCUCCUCCCCCAAAUUUCCAAAUGACUGUUGAUUAGGAGCCUUGCCUUUUCCAACUAAAUCCUGAACUGUCAUUUUAGCUGGGACUUGUAAAAAAUCUUCUGCUGCCUUUACAUUUUAAUUUAACUUUUAAAUGUCCCCUCUUUUCUGAGUUACCAUCAACAUACAGUCUAAUCUAGAGGAAAAUAUGAAGGUAAUCACAGGCGCACACAUGCAGUGUUUGCGCACACACACACACAUGUCCUUUGACAGGUAGACCUAGUCUUUGGUUAGGGGAUUUGACCAGGUUUUAUAUUUGUCUAAAAAAAAAAAAAAUUAGAGGCUAAAUUUAAGGAAGUAUCAUUUAUUUCCAACUUAAUUACCCAUCUUAAUGAUCAAUUAAUUCCAAUUUAAAUUAAGAGUAAAAGGAUGGGAGUACUGGGUCUGAUUCCAUGUUCCUGUCAAAGCUGAAGCUUUCUUAGAAGCCACUAGAGAUCUCAAACUUCUAACCCAGUUCAUAGAUCAGAGAGCAGAUCUGAAAAGAACAAGUUCAAUAAGCAGGUAGAAGGAUUUGGUUUUGAAAUGUCUUGCUGAGUCAUUCUCAAAUUCUUUUACCCACCAAAAAAAAAAAAAAAAAAAAGUUUGCAUAAUUAAUACUGGUGUUCCUCUAGUGCAGGGCUCAACAAGAAUGUAUUUUGCUUAGCCUAUUCGAAAGCCCAGGAAAUGCAGCUUUCCCUUAGAGGAUCCUUUUGAACUGCUGACAGUGUCCCCACUCCCUACUGCCAGACCUUUAAAAUAUCCCUUGUUAAUCUAAAUGAAUGCAAACUCUCUUUUUAUCAUAUACAAGUUUGCAAGAGUUUGGACCUGGCAUUUGCCUAAACAUCACUUAUUUUGCAGUAAUAAGUAUGUUUCCUUCAUUUGUCAUGAAAAAAAUCACCAUAUAUGGACAUCUGCCUCAUGUUUCCCUUACAAAUCCAGAGGUAGGAUGACUGACAUAGUAAAAUCUCAGAUCAAAAGAUGGACAUGUUUUUAUAGCUAAAAUACUUGCAGGGAAUACUCACAUCACAAUAUCCUAGGCCUCAACCACUGAUUUAUUUUUGAAUAUUAUUUUAAAAUAUUUAUUAAAUAUAGCUCUAAUUUUAUCAUAAUAAAAGAUCCACCCUUAAGCUUUAUUUCUAUAGUUGCCAUGAUUGCAUUCUAAAAUAGAUUUUGCCUUGUCCAUUGAAAAAUAUAAAUUUGCAAGGAUUUUUAAGAAAAUAUAAAAAACAAAAAUAUGCAUGUAAGAAAGGAGUUGAAUGUCCUGUCAGAAGAAUACAACCAUAGACAGGUGCCCUGUGUCAGUCCAAUCUCCUCGGGAAAUAAAAGGAGAUUGAGUCCUUGAGUUAGAUGUGUUGAAGAAACCUUGGCUUCUAGCUGGCAACUGUCUCUGAGUACCAUCACCACUUGCAGCAGAACUUCACUGCCCCCAGCAAUCCUAGGGAGAAAGCAACCCAAGAUAGCUGAGGGGCUGUUCCUUGGGUGUCCGCAGUCCUGCUAAAUCAUUGGACAAGUGUUGGGCAGUGGAAAACUGCAUGUCUUGGAAACAACCCAAAUGUCCAUCGACAGAUGAUUGGAUUCAGAAGAUGUGGUAUAUAUACACAAUGGAAUACUACUCAGCCAUAAAAAAGAAUGACAUAAUGCCAUUUGCAGCA